This 301-nucleotide small RNA is filed under the name Chelatococcus asaccharovorans. RNAcentral describes it as "5_ureB_sRNA". It matches the Rfam family "5' ureB small RNA". Lineage: Bacteria; Pseudomonadati; Pseudomonadota; Alphaproteobacteria; Hyphomicrobiales; Chelatococcaceae. The record is from RNAcentral.
CCGCAUAGACCUGCUGCGGCGAGAUAUAGUGGACAUGCGUGUCCAUCCCGCCCGCGGUGAGGAUGAGAUGCUCACCGGAGAUCGCAUCGGUCGCCGCGCCUGUCACGAGACCCGGCGUCACGCCCUCCAUGGUCGAAGGGUUGCCGGCCUUGCCGAGGCCGACGAUACGGCCGUUGCGGAUGCCGACGUCGGCCUUCACGACGCCGAGCGUCGGCUCCAGCACCGUGACAUUCGUGAUGACGAGGUCGAGACAGCCGGCUUCCUGGGUCAGCUGGUUGUCCGAGCCCAUGCCGUCGCGCAG